AACGAACGCUGGCGGCAGGCCUAACACAUGCAAGUCGAGCGCUCACUUCGGUGGGAGCGGCGGACGGGUUAGUAACGCGUGGGAACGUGCCCAGAUCUAAGGAAUAGCCACUGGAAACGUGAGUAAUACCUUAUACGCCCUUCGGGGGAAAGAUUUAUCGGAUUUGGAUCGGCCCGCGUUAGAUUAGGAUAGUUGGUGGGUAACGGCCUACCAAGUCUACGAUCUAUAGCUGGUUUUAGAGGAUGAUCAGCAACACUGGGACUGAGACACGGCCCAGACUCCUACGGGAGGCAGCAGUGGGGAAUCUUGGACAAUGGGGCAACCCUGAUCCAGCCAUGCCGCGUGAGUGAUGAAGGCCUUAGGGU
This 365-nucleotide ribosomal RNA is filed under the name uncultured bacterium. RNAcentral's name for it is "bacterial SSU rRNA". It matches the Rfam family "Bacterial small subunit ribosomal RNA", at positions 29 to 423 of the family's 1533-position model. The record is from RNAcentral.